GGUUAACCCCUCUUUCUCCAAUAAUUGUUUGGUCACCAAAAGGAAACAUGUCAAGGUCCUUGACAAGAGAACACCUUUCAAGUACUUCUUGGUAUUUGAUUCGAUCCACUGUGGAACCAAAAAGUAUGUUCUCUCUUAUUGUUCCUGUCUGAAUCCAUGCAUUCUGAGAGACGUAUGCCACCGUUCCAUGAACUUGAACCAAGCCAUCAACGUAU
Molecule: unclassified non-coding RNA, 215 nt
Filed under: Hevea brasiliensis (rubber tree)
Lineage: Eukaryota; Viridiplantae; Streptophyta; Magnoliopsida; Malpighiales; Euphorbiaceae
Source: RNAcentral